This 310-nucleotide signal recognition particle RNA is filed under the name Acidilobus saccharovorans 345-15. RNAcentral describes it as "Archaeal signal recognition particle RNA". It matches the Rfam family "Archaeal signal recognition particle RNA". Lineage: Archaea; Thermoproteati; Thermoproteota; Thermoprotei; Acidilobales; Acidilobaceae. The record is from Rfam by way of RNAcentral.
CGCGCGGGAAGGGCCGGAGGGGCCGCCUCCCUCCCAUGGCCCGAGGGCGCCACGCGGGGGCCAGUAACUCCGCCGCGGGCCACAGGGCCAGGCCAAGGCUCCCGCGGUAACUGUGAGCGCCCAGCCCACGGGGUCAACGGUGGCCGAGCGCCCGCCGGAGGACGGGCGUUGACGGCCUCAGCCGGGCUAACCUGGCCAGGCCCGGAAGGGAGCAACCUAGCCCGGCCGUUGACGUUCGUGGUGACUGGGCGUGAGGAGCCGCGGGGUUAAAGCCUGACCUGGUUCCGGGAACGCGGCGGGGGUCCGCGCG